CCUACGGGUGGCAGCAGUGGGGAAUAUUGCACAAUGGGGGAAACCCUGAUGCAGCGACGCCGCGUGAGUGAAGAAGUAUUUCGGUAUGUAAAGCUCUAUCAGCAGGGAAGAAAAUGACGGUACCUGAUUAAGAAGCCCCGGCUAACUACGUGCCAGCAGCCGCGGUAAUACGGAGGAUGCGAGCGUUAUCCGGAUUUAUGGGGUUAAAGGGGUGCGCAGGCGGUCUGUUAAGUCAGCGGUCAAAGCCCGGGGCUCAACCCCGGCCCGCCGUUGAAACUGGCAGUCUCGAGUUGGAGAGAAGUAUGCGGAAUGCGCGGUGUAGCGGUGAAAUGCAUAGAUAUCGCGAAGAACUCCGAUUGCGAAGGCAGCAUGCCGGCUCCACACUGACGCUGAGGCACGAAAGCGUGGGUAUCUAACAGGAUUAGAUACCCGUGUAGUC
This 439-nucleotide ribosomal RNA is filed under the name uncultured bacterium. RNAcentral describes it as "partial 16S ribosomal RNA". It matches the Rfam family "Bacterial small subunit ribosomal RNA", at positions 338 to 795 of the family's 1533-position model. The record is from RNAcentral.